GCGCCAAUAGCUCAGUUGGUAGAGCUACAGCCUUUUAAGCUGCAGGUCCUGGGUUCGAGUCCCAGUUGGCGUA
RNAcentral lists this transfer RNA (73 nucleotides) under Candidatus Opitulatrix roisinitermitis. Its description in RNAcentral is "tRNA-Lys". It matches the Rfam family "tRNA". From Rfam's summary of the family: Transfer RNA (tRNA) molecules are approximately 80 nucleotides in length. Their secondary structure includes four short double-helical elements and three loops (D, anti-codon, and T loops). Lineage: Bacteria; Bacillati; Actinomycetota; Actinomycetes; Bifidobacteriales; Bifidobacteriaceae. The record is from RNAcentral.